CUUGAUGCGUAAGCCUCACAACGGAUAACUGGAAGACCAAGUUACUUGUAAUAUAUCUUUAAAUUCUCGGCGUUCCAUGGUCUGGGAAGCGGCCUUCCUGACGUAUCCCUUAAAUUGUAUGCGCCUCCUUGGAGUUGUCGUAUGACUUCGAAGGGCCCUUCCCAAACUGGUCCUAGCUUGCCCGAGGCAUGACCUGCUGCUUCAGCCCUUCUUAACACAAGGUCUCCGCCUCUAAAUCUCCGCGUCCUUACUUUUUUAUUGAAGUACUUUGCUGUUUUAUCCUGGUAGGAGGCCAUUUUUAAAGCUGCCCGAUCCCAAACUUCUUCCAAAAGGUCGAGAUGUUCAGUUGUGCACCCUACAUCUUUGGGCUCGAGCCUCCUUUGGCUGGGCAACCUGACUUCAACAGGUAUGGUGGCCUCAAUUUCAAAAGCCAACAUGAAGGGGGUUUCCCCUGUAGUAGUUUUGUGUGACGUUCUAUACGUCCAAAGUAUGGAAGGUAACUCGUCAGAGCAGGAACCUCUUGCAUCGUCGAUCCUUGUACGGAGGUCUUACAAUAUAAUCCGAUUGGUCACUUCAACGAGACCAUUACUUUGAGGAUGGAAAAUCGACGUCAAACGGUGAUCAACCCCUAGGUCGGUACAAAAGUUUUUAAAUUGUGCAUUGUCAAACUGCCUGCCAUUAUCAGUUAUGAGGACUUUUGGUAUCCCGAACCUGCAUAUGAUGGAUCUCCAAAUGAAACUUCUUAACUUUGGCUCUGAAAUUUUUGCUAAAGGCUCGGCCUCUACCCACUUAGUGAAAUACUCUACAGCCAUAGCCACAAACUUCAAUUGUCCCCUAUUUAUUGGAAAGGGACCAAGGAUGUCAAUUCCCCACUGCUCAAAUGAGGCUAUGCAACUAAUGCUAUUGAGGUCUUCUACGGGAGGGUGGAUGACAUUGCCAAAUCUUUGGCACUUGUCACACUUCUUGACAUAUUCGUGGGCGUCUUUCUUCAUGGUUGGCCAAUAAUAUCCAUACCUUAUGAACUCGAAGGCUAAAGCCCGUGCUUCUUGAUGGUUCCCACAUACACCUUAAUGAACCUCUUCUAGGGCCUGAGAUGAUUUGGAAGGCCUAAGGCAUCUGAGGUAUGGAAGUGUGAGGCUCCUGUGAAAUAAAAUACCUUCAAUCAUGCAAUACCUCGGAGCUUUGGACCGAAUGCUUCUCGCUGCCUGAGGAUCUGCUGGAAGAUUGCCAUGUUUUAUGAAGCCCACUAUUGGGUCCAUCCAUGAUGGCUUAUUAUCAAUAUCCAUGAUGCCUACGGUUUGAUUGAUGCUUGGCUCGGUUACAAUUCUGACGUGGACUGUCUUGUCAAGCCCAUCUAUUCCCUUGAACACCAAUCUUGACAAGGCAUCUGCCCUACAAUUCUUAGCCCGAGAAAUUUUUACAAUUUCACAACUCUUGAACUUUCUCUGGAGAUCAUGCACUUUCAAGCAGUAUAAGCUCAUCUUCUCAUUCUUUCUAUUGAACGUCCCUUCGAUUUGCUCAACCACCAACUGGGAAUCACUAUAAAUUUUGAUAUUUUCAAGCUCGAGAUUUAUGGCGAGUUCCAUAGCUAUGAUGACGGCCUCAUACUCAGCUUCAUUAUUGGUCGCCUCAAAUUCGAACCUUAGUGCACACUGAAUGUUUAUGAGCAUGUCCGGACUUAUGAUUAUGACCCCUGCGCUAGAGCCCAAGGAGUUCGAUACUCCAUCUACGAAAAUUUUCCACACAGUUAUGCUUGAACUCGAGCUACUAUCUGGCCCCCGAGGCCUUGGAGUGAGUUCUGCAAUGAAGUCAGCUAAGGCCUGAGCUUUGAUAGAUGGACGGGGCUUGAACUCUAUGUCAAAUUCUCCAAGUUCAAUUGCCCACUUUAGUAAUCUUCCUGAGACGUCUAGUUUCUAAAGAAUGUGUUUCAGAGGUUGAUUGGUAAGCACAACAAUAGGAUGUGACUGAAAAUAUUGCCGAAGUUUUCGUGCCGCUACUAUCAGUGCAAGGGCAAGUUGCUCUGCCAAAGUGUAUCUUGUUUCUGCAUCACUUUGCUUACGUAAUAAAUGGGUUGCUAGCCCCUGUUAACCUCUUUCACCAAUGUCUGCUUGAGCUCUUGAAAAGCCUUCUCACACUCCUCAUUCCAUUCAAAGCAAUGGUUACCCGGGCUUUGAAGAAGGGGAAGCACCUGUCUGCUGCUCGG
This 2203-nucleotide long non-coding RNA is filed under the name Olea europaea subsp. europaea. The record is from RNAcentral. Lineage: Eukaryota; Viridiplantae; Streptophyta; Magnoliopsida; Lamiales; Oleaceae.